This is a non-coding RNA of Pelobates cultripes (western spadefoot toad), 17777 nucleotides long. The record is from the annotation of a GenBank genome assembly. Lineage: Eukaryota; Metazoa; Chordata; Amphibia; Anura; Pelobatidae.
GUGUCUCUUGCACAGUAAUAUACACCAGAUUCUUCACUUCUCAUAUUAGUGAUUUUGACAUAAACUUCAUUCUUUGCGGUGUCUCUGGUGAAAGUGGCUCGAUUGUUAAACGAGGAGCCAGGCUGUGAGGUUCCACUGUUGAUAAUACGACCAAUAUAUUCCAGUCCCUUUCCUGGAAGCUGUCUGAUCCAGCCCCAGUGAUAACUAGUAACAUCCACUGAAACUUUACAGGUCAGUUUCAUAGUCUCUGAGGGUUUCACAGUUACUGAUCCAGGUUGAUCCAGGGUAACUGCUUGCGAGAGGACAUCUGAAACAUAAACAUGUUUAAUAAACAUUGGAAGCCUUAAUAACUAAAUAUUGUUUUUCUCAAAUAUGUGCAGUAUAACUAAACACCUUACAUGACACAGAUAUCAGCAGAGGGAGCACAAUGUAGAAAGCCCUCAUUAUGUUCAGUGGAUAAUCAGAGCAGACAGUACAGACAGUAUCUGCUGGUUCGUAUCACUGAGCUCAGUCUGUGACACACACAGCUUAUAACAGGACGGAGAGACUCUGAUUUACAUGAAGAUCUCUAUAAGAGGAAGACAGACUGAGGCUUGGUUUUUCAUUCAGCAAGGGGAAAAUUAAACAUAUAAAUAAAGCAUAACUGCUAAGGAGGACAAUAUAUAGGUGAUGGAAUAUCAAAAAUGUAUGGUGAAUAUAAAAUAAGGUCUCUGCAUCUUACAGCAUUAUUGAUUUCAUGUGUCAUAUAACAUUAUUAUUGAGAUGUAGUAAGCAUGGUAUUAUUAUUAUUUUAUUUUUUUCUAUUUUUUUUUACUUAAACUCAACUCUUUAUCCUACGUGGAACAAAAUGUAUAACUUUUGAUAAACAAUCUGUGAUCCAGAGGAGAUUAUAAUGGUAUUUGAAUUAUAAACCUACCUUAUAAAAUUGUAUUGUUGACAAAAAAAAAAAAAAAAAACAUGUCAGACAGUUUUGGACAAGAUUACUAAUAGUGUCUAUGUAUUAUGUAAUGGUGAUGAUUAGUAAAUUAUUAGCAGAUGACAGCCAUCAUGAAUAUGAGCACAUUAAAGAGUUACUUCAAGCACCAUAAUCACUUCAGUGAGUUGCUUCUGGAGGUGUAACUCCACCUCUGCAUCACAAGCCAGCCCACUAAUGCUCUCAGCUAACGAAUGGCAAUAGUAUUGUCAUACAUGUUCUGUAGCUAUGCAGAAGCUGGAUGCACAUCACCAGAGCAGAAAGGACCCUGAUGCCCAUUGGACAUCCAGGCAAGAGGGCAAACUGUUGAAAAAUAGUUUGUCCCAUUACUUGGGAACAGGGAAAGUUCACUCCUCACAUCUUAACCACUACAGACGAGCUGUACUAGUAAUGAGGCUUGGGAUAACCCUUUCAUAUUGUUAUGUAUUAGCAUAACAUAAACUCAAUAUUGAGUUAUCACAGGUCUACCAGAAAGGGAUUAACGUUAUGUAGACUAAAAGUUCUUGCAGCAUACAUAAACGGACAUGCUCUACUAUUCCAGAAAACAAAUAAAGGUCACUACUGUACAGUUGUUGAGUUGAAAGUUUACAUUACAUUACUGACAGUAAUCUGCUGUUCUGGCUUCUUCAUCUUCACUUGGUUAUUAGCCUAAGUUACACUAUUCUUAUACACUUUAAUUUCUGAUUUCAUUUCAUUAGCCCCUUAACCCCUUAAGGACACAUGACAUGUGUGACAUGUCAUGAUUCCCUUUUAUUCCAGAAGUUUGGUCCUUAAGGGGUUUGUUUGUUUUGUACUUAAGGACACAUGCAUUUUAGUAAUGUUUGGUAUGUGUGUAUUUCAGCACAAUCCCAUCUUUUUGAUUGAUUGCAACAACACAUAUAAAGGACCAAAUGGGCUUUAAUGUGAUGUGACAUAGACAUACAUAAAUUCUCAUGUAUUGUAAAAAAUAUAUAAUUUAAAAAAAAUAUUUUUAUUUAUAUAUAGGUAUAUAUAUAGUGAUAUAUACGUAUAUAUUUAUGUAUAUAGAUAUAUAUAUUAUUUCUUUCUACAUGUAUUUUGAUAUAAAUAUAUAUAUAUAUAUAUUAAUAUCACAAUACAGUUAGAACGAAAUAACACACAUCUAUAUAUUUUUUAAUUAUUUAUUUUUAAUUAUUUUUGUAAUUUUAUUUUUUAACGUAUUUACAUAUUUAUUUUUUUAUAUUAUAUAUAAAUAUAUCUAUAACAAUAAUUAUAUAUAUAUAUUUAAUCAGUAUCAGUCUAUGUGUAAUUUGAUAUUAAUAUAUAUAUAUAUAUAUAAUUAUAUAUAUAUUAAUAGUAAAAUACACCUAGACAGUGUAUGUGUGUGUAUGUAUAUGUGUAUAUAUAUACUUAGAUCAUAUAUAUAUAAUGUAUAUAUAUAUAUAUGAUCUAAGUAUAUAAUUAAUUUUUUUACACUUUUUAAUUUAAUUUUAUUUUAUUUCCAGCCAGCAGGGGGACUACCUGUCAUUACAAUGCAGCAGCCAGCUAUCCUGGCCAUGUGAUUGUGAGGUCCUCGCAAGGACCUAACUCUCACAUGGCAGGGGGGGGGCUGCAGGAUGGAGGAUCCGCCGCGGGGGGCUCCCUGGGAGUCCCCCCAACCACGAUCGCCGGCGACCGUGUAAGUAAGAAAAAACUAUUACGCCCGGCGGCGUUUAGAGCCGCCUAAAAUAGGGCGUAAUAGUACGCCCUCCGGUCUUAAGGGGUUAAGGCAUUUGCAAUAUAUACAUACAUCGAGUUGAAAUCAGUGACAAAGGUAUAAGCAUACAAGUUAAAGAUAACAAUGUGUCUGUCGCAUGUUGACAGAGAUAAUAAUGAUAGCCUAUUGUUAAGCUUAUAAUCACUAAUGAGUAGAGUCUGCCUAUUUUUUGUUAGGUUAAUGUCAAGUAGUGUAGUGCGUCAGUGUGACUAUGUGGAGUCUAGUGUAGAAACGUUAAACUUGGGACAUCAGUGGCGCACCACAUUUGUGUAGACCCUUGUAUGUGCAAUGGGCCUGGGGCUAUAGUCAGUCGAGGUAGUGUGCGCUUAAAGUAUGUGCUCCUGUUUAGCAUUUCAGAGUGAGGCAAUAUAGAACUCCAUCAUUCUUGCAGGAAUGUGUUGGUAUGAACUAAGCUCCACUUGAAUGAAUGACCCCUAACCGAGGGGUUCCGGGGGGGAGGAGAGUAACUUUUCAGCACUGAGUGCGCUCUAUGGAGAAGGUGAACACCCUGCAGUUUCAUAGACGUUAUAUUUGGUUACAAAUUGGUUAGUACCAGGUGAAUCAACAAAUAAAGAAGACAAUUGAAUAAAAUAUAAAUCUUGAGGAUAAAAAAUCAAAGAUAAAAGAAAAAAAUAAUUAGUUGCUCCCUGUCAAAGUUCAGGUAACUGGGCUCUGCCCUUCACCAUUCCUCUGCCCUUCACCGGUCUGGCUCCCAGUCAUGUGGACUAUGGGAGGCAGGCAGACUGGUUUGCAUGGUCUGAAUGCCUAGGGCUUGGAAAAAUGCCAGGGCCUCAGCUGUUGAGGAUAACUGGUAUGUCGCUCCGUUCCUUCACACACUCAAGGAUCUCUGAGUCGACCAUCUGUAAGAGACCCCGGCGGCACGGCAUUGGUGAGCUACUGGGCUUAUGGAAUGCCUCCAUUGGAGAAUGAACCAGGUAAUAGGUGAGUGUGGAUGAUUUGAAGGUGUAGAGUAUUUUUCCCCUUAAUGCCGACCAGAUGUGGCCUUUAUCAAGAAGCGUUUGGCAGCAUGCUAUCACGUCCUGUGGAGACGCUGCAGGAGCUUUCUGGGAUUUGUUAAUACGAAAGCAGCCAUCAAAGACAAUCUUCUGCGUUGCCAGUAUCAGGGAGGCUACCAGGCGUCUCAUAUAAUGUGGUAGCUCAUCAGGCAAGACUGCAUCUGUAAUGCCCCUAAUCUUGAUGUUAGCUCUGCGGCUUCGGUCAUCAAGAAUGUCAGCUCUCAUUGCUAAGGAGGUUUGAGUUUUCUGAAUUUGUUGCAUGGAUUCUCUUAUUGUAGAGACCUGUUGGCGCAGGUCAAUAAUAUCCUCCUUAGUGGCCAGGGUUCUUGCUGUCACUGCUUGGACUUCCACUUUAAGAAGGUCAAGGUCAGCUGCAAACAGUUGCUUAAUAUUUUGUAGCAGGUUGGCAAUGUCUUGUUUUGUGGAGGGCGUAUGAUGGUCCUCUCCAGGGGUCUCUGCUGGUGCAUUUGGCCUUUCCAGGGGAACAGGGACCGGCUCCUCCACUGUGUGUCUGGGCAUGGGUGUGCAGGCCUUACCUUCCACCUGGGUGGCCAUCUUGUGUGUCACAGGGUGCUAAAACAUAGUGCCGAUAUUGAAGUUCUCGUUUACUCUAGUCUGAGGCUGGUAUCGGCAGCCCAUGUUGUAUGUGCUCUGGACCUGGGCCGGUCUUUCAGGUGAGUAGUAGAGUAGUUCCUCCAAUGACAGGCCCGAAGGCAGCACGGAGGUUUUAGGUUGCUGAGGGGCACGAAAAGCCUUAAUCCAUAGGCGUGGGAGUUUGCCUGUUAUAUGGUAAAGGAUAGGCAUCUGGUGGUUCCACACCAUGUUAGGGAAUGGUAUAUGCUGGAUUGCGUCUAAAUAUUGUGUUUUAGUCAAGUAAUUUAGCUGAUUUCGAUCGCUAGCGCUGGAGCUCUCAAAAAAAAUGUAUAUGUAGACAUACAAAGGAGUAUACAGAAAAGAAAUAACAACCAUAAGCACACAUAUCAGCUGGGUAUGGGGAUGCACAGUGUUUUUUAGAUAAAAAAACUGUGGGACAUCUAUGACUGUCAUUAACACACAUGGCUGUGUGACUUGGAAGGAAAAGCGUCCAGGUGCGGCCUAUUGGUAGUGCCCACAUCUCCAACAGAUCAGGGACUAGUUUGGAUAUAUUUUAAGUAUGUGAGUAGGUACCAUGUACCAUCUAUACAGUGUUUUCUUUUGUUGUUUUAGGAGUGGGGCUGAUGUGAUCACCCUUUUCGUAGAGGAGAUAAAGUGUUCCCAUUUUUUUCUUGGGGCUGGGGACCUGGAGGUCUAGAGCCCAAUGUUGUGCAGGUGUGGAGACAUCAAAUGGUUUGUAAGUCUGGAGGAGCUGGUAGCACCUGGAGAGUGGCUUAUAGCUAGGUGGGAGUGUACCUUUUACCCCUAUUUGUUCCCAUAAUGAGAGCUCCUGUGGUUUAUGACCAUUGGUGGCAGUUACUGGUUCAUGCCGUUGUAAGAAGGAUUUGAGUUGCAUAUAAGAGAAUUUGGAGGUGUAUGGGAUGUCGUAAGCUGAUUGGAUCUUUGGAAAAUUCAUUAGAGUACCUGACUCAUGUGCGUGUAGUAAGUGUGUGGCCCCUCUCUCUUUCCAUGGUGUUGCUUGGAAUGUCGGGAUGCAGUAGUUGAUGGCAUCAAUCGAGGUGGCUAAAGAUAGGGGAUGUGCUGUUUCUAACUUUGGUCUAUGUUUAUCCCAUAUUUGUAGGGCUAGUUUGAUUUGUGUCGGCAAGAGUAGUACAGCAGGUCUAAACUUUUUGGGGAGCCACUGUAAAUUGGGAAUGGUGAAGGGUCGUAUAGCUAGGUUCUCCAGGGAUACCCACUGAGGUUGAUUGUCUCUAAUGAAAUGAGGUAUUAGUAAAGUUAAAAUUGCUGCCUGGUAGUAGAUUUUAAUAUAUGGGUAUACCAUCCCUCCCCAGCGCACCAGGGCCUUCAAUAGUUUGUUGGAUAUUCUAGCCCUCCCGUUUCCCCAGGUGAAUUGUGUCACUUCCCAGUGCAUAGUCUUAAAGUAGGAUUGAGGUACAUGUAUCAGAACAGGUAUUGGAGUUUGGCCACUAUGCGCUCUGUCCAGGUAAGAAAUAGGCGUCUCCAGUUUCGUAGGAUGGAUUUACAUUACUUCCAGACCCUGGUGUAAUUAGUGGGGAACAUUUCAGAGACCUUUUUGGUGAAUGUUGGCCUAGAUAUUUCAGGUCGUUCUUUCUCCAUUCAAACUGGUACUCCCUACGUAGGUUUGUUAGUACUUGUGGGUCUAGUCGGAGUCCUAGGCCUUGUGUUUUGCUGGUAUUAAGGGAAUAGUAUGACAGGUAACUUCCGCAACUUCAACUGUCAAACGCUAAGCUGACUACCAACCAGGAAAAAAUCUUGGAAUGAGGUUUAUCUUUUGUCCCAAUACCAUUGUUUAAUAAAUUUAAUUGGACAAAAGAUAUUCACCUGUUUGCUAGAUGGCUAGCUUUACAUAAAUAUCACAAAAUCCAAAAAGAGAAAAAAGCAAAAAACUUGUGCCUGACAGCAAAAGAUUUAGAAUGUGUCGAAUCUAGUAUCUCUCUUGGAAGACAAUGAGGGAUCUAUGGUAACUCCAUCACAUACCUAUUUGAAGACAAAAAUAUAUUUUACCCCCAACUUCAAAGAAUAUCGGAGUAUUGAUAUAUUUGUGGAAAUGACAACAAAUGCCAUUGAACAAAUUCAGGAAGACACCCUAGAAUUGACUAUUCAUGGUAACCAGUCAAAACAGGGAUGGUUUGCCCUAAAUGAUAUUAAAAAAUGAAUCUCUCAUAAUUAAACCUGCAGAUAAUUUAGUGUUGAUGAAUAGAGAGGACUACACACUAAUGGAUGAAAAGAUUCUGAAAGAGGAAUCAACCUAUAGAAUUUUGAAAAAGAAUCUGACCAUCCAAUAUCUGAUUGAAUAGAAAGCUCUAUCAGAUGAAGCUCUAGAUAAUGGUACACUAUCCAAAGAGUAAUAUAAUUUCAUCUACAAUAGAUCACCCAAAAUCUCAACCUUAUAUUGUCUACCAAAAAUACAUAAACAAUAUACACACCUUACAGGAAGACUUAUUGUUUCAGGGAUAGACAAUAUGACCCAAAAUGGGAGCCAAUAUAUUGAUCAGAUAGUAAGAAAAUUUGUUGUGACUCUACCUUCAUACUUAAAGGACACCAAAGAGACCCUAAGUUAUCUAUCAACUACGCAGCUACCAGAAGGGGCAUAUCUGUGUAGUUUAGAUGUGGAGUCACUCUAUUCAUCAAUACAACACAAGAUUGGCCUUGGACAUACUAGGAAUUUCCUAGAACUAAGAUGCAAAAGCCAUCAGGCACGUACUGAAUUUAUUUUUAAAACUCUUACAAUUGUUUGAUUUCUUUUGUCAUUUUCUGCUAUAUAUGCAAUGAUGUUUGGCUUGUGGUGUUUGGCUUGAAAAAGAACUCUGUGUAGGUCGAAACGUUGCUGCUCUUUUUGUUCCAUUUAAAACCUGCCUGCAGCUUUAACACUUGAGUGCCUGGAUAUUCCUUUUUUUGCCUUGAUGUGUUGGGAUUGCUGGUCCUGUUCCAGAGCAUCGGUGGCUGCUGGGAUUGAGUUUGGCUCCUACAAUUAUCUUUGUAAUACAGUAUGUACAGCACCUUGGAUCCUGCACCUCCCUGAUGUGAUUAUUCUUAAUUGAUUUUUUUUUUUUACUUUUUCAGCUUGUGUUUAAUUUGGCAGUAUGGAACAAAAUGUAUUUUCUGGUACUUUUUCGUACUCGGAGGGGGAUGCUAUGCGAAUCCUCCAGGCGGUUGAAAGCAACCAUUCCUUUUUACAAGUUCCUACCUCAGAUAAUGUCUCCAGAACCCUAGAAAAUGCCUUAAGAAGCACCUGAGUUAUACAAUGCACAGUGUUACACUGGCAGAAUAUUACAGGGUACAUAGAAUACUAAGAAGCAUGAGGAUGAAUGUGCAACCUACUCUAUUCAGAGAUUAUGGAGAUUAUUGUACCAGACUAGAGGCGAUUCUUAAUAAGUGUUCCAUGGUCUGGAUCUUUCUUAAUUUAGAGUUUCUACAACAAGCGAUUGUCAAAACAAAAGAAGAAGAAGCUAAACUUGAAGCAGAAUUAAUCAAAGCCUCACAAGGGUUAGCCCUAGCUACAAUAAAAAGUAAAAUCAACCAUAGUGUUGAUACACUCAAGAGAGAGAUUGAAGAACGGAAGAGAAAUACAUUUCAAAGGGAUCAGACUGAUUAUGAGUUGGGCAAUGUAUAUAGAUGGCACAAUCAUGACAAAAUAAGAAAUUAUCCCUCCUAUGAGAAAAAAGACACCGAAAUCUAAACACCACACUGGUGAAGAUUCAUAAAAUACAGAGAUGGAAAACUUCUAGGAUAGUUCUCUCUCUUUUUUAGAGAGAACCCCCUCCUCACGAGUAACAUCAAGCGAAGAAGGAUGCGACGAGGCGGGGGUGGCAACAAGAAAUCAGACUUUACCAGCAAUUUGGGACCACAAAAAAACUGGGACCAAAGAGAAAAAACUACAGUAAUCAACAUCUCAUCAGUUGAAUUGACGAAUGAUGAACUUGCCGUUCUCUCUAAAUGUCUGACUUUUUUUCCUAGUUAUACUCCCACACAUGUGGAGAUUGAUUAGGAACUAACCCGUUUCUUUCGUUCCUUAAAACUAAAAACCUUCUUUGAUAAAGUGCAGGUACCUCUCUCUUCCCCUGUAUUUUUUUUUACUUUUUCAGCUUGUGUUUAAUUUGGCAGUAUGGAACAAAAUGUAUUUUCUGGUACUUUUUCGUACUCGGAGGGGGAUGCUAUGCGAAUCCUCCAGGCGGUUGAAAGCAACCAUUCCUUUUUACAAGUUCCUACCUCAGAUAAUGUCUCCAGAACCCUAGAAAAUGCCUUAAGAAGCACCUGAGUUAUACAAUGCACAGUGUUACACUGGCAGAAUAUUACAGGGUACAUAGAAUACUAAGAAGCAUGAGGAUGAAUGUAACCUACUCUAUCUAGAGGCGAUUCUUAAUAAGUGUUCCAUGGUCUGGAUCUUUCUUAAUUUAGAGUUUCUACAACAAGCGAUUGUCAAAACAAAAGAAGAAGAAGCUAAACUUGAAGCAGAAUUAAUCAAAGCCUCACAAGGGUUAGCCCUAGCUACAAUAAAAAGUAAAAUCAACCAUAGUGUUGAUACACUCAAGAGAGAGAUUGAAGAACGGAAGAGAAAUACAUUUCAAAGGGAUCAGACUGAUUAUGAGUUGGGCAAUGUAUAUAGAUGGCACAAUCAUGACAAAAUAAGAAAUUAUCCCUCCUAUGAGAAAAAAGACACCGAAAUCUAAACACCACACUGGUGAAGAUUCAUAAAAUACUGAGAUGGAAAACUUCUAGGAUAGUUCUCUCUCUUUUUUAGAGAGAACCCCCUCCUCACGAGUAACAUCAAGCGAAGAAGAAUGCGACGAGGCGGGGGUGGCAACAAGAAAUCAGACUUUACCAGCAAUUUGGGACCACAAAAAAACUGGGACCAAAGAGAAAAAACUACAGUAAUCAACAUCUCAUCAGUUGAAUUGACGAAUGAUGAACUUGCCGUUCUCUCUAAAUGUCUGACUUUUUUUCCUAGUUAUACUCCCACACAUGUGGAGAUUGAUUAGGAACUAACCCGUUUCUUUCGUUCCUUAAAACUAAAAACCUUCUUUGAUAAAGUGCAGGUACCUCUCUCUUCCCCUGUAUUUUUGUUAUAUGUGGGACAAACUAGUCAGAAGUUUAAAAUGAGGUUUUCUAAACAUAAGUCCAAGAUACGCACUGGACUGACUGAUUUACCUCUCCCUGCACACUUUUUGGAAGCUGGACAUGGUGUCUCUAAAUUAAGGUUCCAGAUUUUAGAACAAAUUAUGGAAUCACCAAGGAAGGGCGAUAGGAAUAAGAGACUAUUAUUACGUGAGGCCUAUUGGAUUCGGGAACUUGACACAUUUUAUCCCAAAGGUUUAAAUUAUGAAUACGAUCUGUCUAUGCUUAUUUAAAUAAUGGUUGCUUUAAUUGUUUUUAUGAUGGUUGGCUAUAUGUAGCCUAACGUUUAUAUCUUCUUUAUUUUUUACAGGUUUCCGGGUAGAAAUAUGGUGCUAGUUCUUCUUUUUUCACCCUAAUCCCUUGUUUUGAGCAUGACAUGAGAUUCUGGAUUUAAUUGGGACUUCUGAUUUGGACACACUAUAUGACUUCUUAAUUGCACCAUAAGUAUUUAACUAUUUGCAAUGAUCAUUUUAGCACACUCUAUAGAUAUAAAAAGACACUCUGUGAAAUAAUUUUUGAUUAGUAUAUUUGAUUAUUCUAGCACUUGGUCACUUUUUAUAUAUUGUCCGAUACUUGUUCACUUUAUAUUUAUGCAUGCACUUUAGUAAUUUUGCUUAUUGUUAAGCUAUACUAUGACACUUUUGCACUUGCACUUUAUUAUGAUAUUAUUUUUUAUUAUUAUAUAUUAUGCUCACUUAGUGGCAUUUGUCUAUUCUUUCGACAACAUUUUCUAUACCAUUUUCCAUUACAGUGUAGGUGAUUUUUUCACAUAAUGAUGAAUUCUGCACUGGUAACAAUUAAUAUAAAUUCUGUGCCAGCUCAAUUCGUUUCACUGAUCUGAUAUAGUUUUGAAGAAUUAUUUAUUUUAUUGACUAUGCAUUAUAUAUGUAUUUUUAGAUUUUUCAUGUAUUAUUUGCUGCCUCUUUUGUGCCUUGGUGGGAGAUUGACCUUUUUGUUGUUAUUCAUACAUCUUUUGUAUUUCUAUAGGAUUAUUUUUUAUUUAUAUAUUUUUAAUUUUUUAUUAUUUUAUAUUAUUUAUUUUUACUUUUCAUACUACUUUUGUUAUUAUUUUUUUGUUUCUUUGUUUGAUUUCUGAUUUUUCAUUAUUAUUAUUUUUUAUUAAUUUUCUAUUUUUGUGUUUUAGUUUUAUAUUUUUUUAUUCUUUUCUUUUUUCUCUUGUCUUUUUUCUCUAUUUCUUUCUCUUUUUUUAUUUUUUUAUCUUUAUCUUAUAUUAUUUUUAUCUUGUAUCUUAUAUGUUAUUUAUAUUUUUUCUCUCUUCUUUCUGCUUUUUUUUACUAUAUUACAUAAUUGAUAUUAGCCUUAUUUGGCUUGUUGUUUACAUUCACAGUUAUUUUGUUUUGAGAUUACAUUUCUUGACUAUGCGCAUGUGCGCACCCUGGUUUAUUUCAUCUAUAUCCCAUUGUGUGUUUUAACAUACGAACGGAUAUUCUUUUCAAUUCUUGUAUAGCUCGUUCGUGCGCAUGUCUGUGCGUUCCAUUGCUUCUGUUCAUGUGUUUGGACACACAAACUGAUAUUUGGCUUGGCACCUACAUGGAUCCAUAGAAGGGGUAGUCCUUUUGCGUUUCAGAAGCCCUUCUGCGUUUCAAUUAACCGCAAAUGAUUUCCUAGCGCUUUUAUAGAUCUUUCAUUUAUUUUAUUUUUAUUAUUUAUUUUUUCAAUCUUGGUCUCUCCCUCCUCUGGCACAUAGGGGUAGGUUAUAGACUAUUUCAUAUGGUAGAUCUAUAGAUAUAUUAUGCAUAAUUUGUAUUGUUUUGUGUUAUUCAUUUUUGCUAAUGUCUUUCACUUAAGUGAAUUAUUGUUUGAUUUAUUUUGGCAUUUUCUGCUAUGCAUGCACAGAUGUUUGGCUUUUGGUGUUAGCUUGAAAAAGACCUCUGUGUAGGUCGAAAUGUGGCUGCUCUUUUUGUUCCAUUAAAAACCUGCCUCCGGCUUUAACACUUGAGUGCCUUGUUAUUCCUUUUUAUGCAUUGUUAAACAGGCCGACAAUUAUAAAAAAUCUUCCCUGGGGAUCAAAAAAAAGUUUCAGCAGUUGAAACUCUAUAUCUCUGUGAAUGAGAAUGGAGAUCUCUUUUGUCUUAUUUUCAGAAAAGGCAUAAUAUUGAGUUGGAAAUGUUUUUGUGAAGAUCGCAGGAGUCCUGAUGUUUUUAAAAUGCGUCUCCUGAAUACAUGCUAUGUCAAUCUCAUGUUUCUUAAGAUCUUGUAGUAGUAGCCUACACUUGCCGGGGUAGUUUAGACCCUUUACAUUAUAAGUCAGUAACUUCAUACUGUCACAUUAAAAUGACAAGAGUUGCUUUUUUGCAUAUCCAUACCUAUGACUCCCAGUAUGGUAGUAACUGUAAUUUCCUCUAUGUUCAUGUUUUAGCCCCAUCUUCCAUCUAUUUUUCAGAGCUAUCCAUCUUACUUUUAAUCUGUACUGGAGUGCAGACAUCAGCAUUCUGUUAGGACUUCCAAGUGGAAUUGCUGGGCCGGGGUCAUUGGGCUGUGACUGGGUGCGGGUGGGGUAGAACCCAAAUAGUUUUAGAGCGUAUUUGCGCUACCUGAAGGAUAGGCGCAUCCGUUGAGGGCUAUGGUAGUGAGACUCUCUAGCACAGAGGGCUUCUCACAAGUGAACCGUUGGAGCACAUUCAACAUGAAACAUGAAAACAUAAUAGUUAUGAACAAAACCGGAGUAUAUGACAUUUUAGUGUGACGCUGUUGUUUGCAGCCCAUAUCUAAGGGUUGCUACCUAUUUGUAGGCAUACUGAGCCCAACUGCUGUUCCUGCAUGUCCUAAAGAGUGGCCGAAGGUCGCUGAAUAGGCAAAGUCUGUGUCUAACCAGUGUUCUGUGCUUUUACCUACUGGACACAAGAAGUAGAUGUCUAUGUGUGUGCCUAGUGGUGUUGAGUACUUCAGGUAUGCGAAUAUGAACAGUGUGUGAUAAAGGUACUUAACGGUUAUGUAAGGAAGCACAUAAUAGAACCUGUGGGGACAAUCAGCGUAUAGUUACAUGCUACUCUGGAAGAGGCAGAGCAGUGUUAUUGUACUGUUCAUUCUGGAGACAUCCUGGGGACUUUAGCUGGCUUGGUACUUGUAGGUGCCGGGGUCGGGAACUCCCAGUCUGUCAGCUUUUGGAUACCUUGCGCCAAGUUUGUAAUGGCGUGUAGAACAUCAUGGUGGAAAACCAGGAGAUUGGCUGCGAAUCCCCAUCUGAAGUUUAAAUUGUACUCAUGGAGGGUCAAGGUGACAGGUGCCAAUGACUUCCGAAUAUGCAGCGUUUCUGCAGACAAGUCCACAAAGAUCUUGACGGUGUGGUAUUUUUUUGGCAUGUUAAUAUUCCUGCUGGCAUGUACUAUCCGUUCCUUGGCAUGGAAGAAAUUGAUCCUCGCUAUGACGUCUCUCGCUGUCUUUGUGGGUAGGUGUUUAGGUCUAUGCAAUCUGUGAGCUCUGUCUAUUAUGAGUUGUUCUGGGUGGAUUUCUGGCAUUAGAUUCUGGAACAAGUCCAUUAGAUAAUUAUUCAGGUCAGCGUUAAGUACUGACUCCGGUAUCCCUUGGAAUCUGAAGUUGUUCCUCCUUGACCUGUCUUCCAAGACAGCUAGCUUAAGCCUGUGUGAUUCCAGUGUGUCAUCCAGUUCUUGGAGUUUGUCUGCUAGGAUGUUAUGGGCCACUGCAUAGUCAUCCAUUUUAGCUUCCAUGUAGGACGUGCGGUUCCCUAUGUCCUGAAUUUCCUUCUGGAGGUCAAUUGACAGUGUUUGCAUUUGCAGUUUGAUAGUAUUUUGUAUUGUGUCAGAAAAGUCUGCCAUUAUCGCCCGUAUGCUGCCCAGUUUUCAGUGGUUGUUCAUCCGCGGUGGGGCCUUGUGACUCUCUGCCAUCUUGUGCAGGGUCCUGGUCUUCCUGCCUUUUUAGGACCGCCGUUUUUGUAAGGAAAAAGGAGGCUCAACUCAUUUUCCCCUCUAGUUUUUUGGCGUUGGGACAUUGUGCUACCGGUUGCUAAGUGUAUGUUGCGUUUAGUAGUCCGCUUAUUUAGUGCUCUUUUCAGUUUUGUAGCCGGGAGCUGUUAUUACAUGUGGCCGCUCGGUUUCAGCGCGAGACCCCGCCCAUAUUUAUUAUUUAUUUGUAAAGUAAUAAAUAUAUAUAUAGUGUAUUUUUUAUAUAUUUAUAUAUAUCAUUAACGAAAUUAUUAAUAUAUAUGUAUAUAUUAAUAAAAAAAUACACUUAGUAUGACGUUAUAGAUAAUAUAUAUAUAUAUAUAUAUAUACAUAUAUAUAUAUAUAUAUACAUAUUAAAAGAAAUGAAGGGGAGCGGUCAAGGAUAGGGGUUUAGUGUAACACCCUCGUCCCAUACCUAACCCACAAAAAAAGGUCAACUAGACUGGAAAAGAGUAUAAGCAUAGAACACCCAUGAAGGUGUUUACAGGAGAUUAGGGUCUAGAGACUAGGGACACCUUUACCAGAUAUCUCUAGUAUUUAUAGAGAGGUGGAGUCAUUUGUAUAUAUCCCUAUCACCUAUCUCCUCGUAUAUAAACCCUUCACUUUCUUUCUUUCUUUCUGUGCUUAUUUCUCACUGUUUAUCAUAUCUCUCACUAUUCCUUUGUGUUUUGACUUUUGCCUCUGGAUGAUUACACUAGGCUCUGUUGUAGCCAAUGUUAUAUACAUUUCCAUGAGGGCUUAUAAACCAAAGGUGGAGAUUGCUACUUUUUCUGUUAGUUCUCAUUGUUACAUUUAUAUCCUGUAGAGUUAAUGUGGCAUGCUUAAUUACCAACUAUUAGCUACUGAGCAUAUCACUCAGUAUUUAAACAGCUUUUUGAGAAUUUAAGGGAUUUUUGUUUUUCAAAACUGAAUUAAAGCAUAGAAAAUCCACGACGGUGCUUAUAUGAGACUGCAGGUCUAUAGACUAGGGAUACCCUUACCACAGACCUCUGGUAACUCUAGAGAGGUGGAUUUAAUUUGUUAUAUCCCUAUUACUUAUCUCUCUGUAUAUACCCUUCAUUUUACAUUUUUUCCUGUGUGAUUUUUUUCUCACCAUUUAACAUAUCUUUCACUAUUCCUUUUACGUUAUAGUUUUUGCUUCUGGAAGAUCACACUCAUUUAGAUACAUAAAUGAGAAAAGAAAAGAAAAGUAAAACAAGGAUUAGUUAGAUUAAAAACAAAAGAAGGAAGGUAUGUAGAAAAGGAUAAAGGUCUAGCUGACUGCCUCAAUUAAUAUUUCUGUUCGGUAUUUACAGAUGAAAAUGAAGGAAAGGGACCUCAGUUAAGAAAAAGGAUAAAUGAGUCAUUUAUUACACAUGAGUUUACAGAGGAAGAGGUUCUAUUUCAACUGUCAAAAGUAAAGACAAAUAAGUCAAUGGGACCUGAUGGAAUACACCCAAAGCUAUUAAAAGAGCUUAGUGGUGUACUAGCAAAUCCAUUAACAGAUUUAUUUAACCAAUCAUUGUUAACAGGAGUAGUCCCAGAAGAUUGGAAGUUAGUGAAUGUUGUGCCCAUUCACAAGAAAGGUAAUAGGGAGGAGUCAGUGCAAAUAUAGGCCAGUAAGCUUCAGUAGUGGGGAAAGUGAUGGAAACCAUGUUAAAGGAUAGGAUUGUUGAACAUCUAAAAACACAUGGAUUUCAAGAUCAGAGACAACAUGGGUUUACUUCAGGGAGAUCAUGCCAAACUAAUCUUAUUGAUUUUUUUUGAUUGGGUAACGAAAAUUAUAGAUCAGGGUGGUGCAGUAAACAUUGCUUACCUAGAUUUCAGUAAGGCUUUUGACACUGUUGCAUAUCAAUAAACUGCAAUCUUUAAGUUUGAAUUCCAAUAUUGUUGAAUGGGUAAGGCAGUGGCUGAGUGACAGGCAACAGAGGGUUGUAGUCAGUGGAGUAUAUUUGAAGCUUGGGCUUGUCACCAGUGGGGUACCUCAGGGAUCUGUACUUGGACCCAUUCUCUUUAAUAUUUGUAUUAGUGAUAUUGCAGAAGGUCUUGAUGGUAAGGUAUCUCUUUUUGCUGAUGAUACCAAGAUAUGUAACAGGGUUGAUGUUCCAGGAGGAAUAAGCCAAAUGGCAAAUGAUUUAGGUAAACUAGAAAAAUGGUCAGAGUUGUGGCAACUGACAUUUAAUGUGGAUAAGUGCAAGAUAAUGCAUCUUGGACGUAAAAACCCAAGGGCAGAGUACAGAAUAUCUGAUAGAGUCCUAACCUCAACAUCUGAGGAAAGGAAUUUAGGGGUGAUUAUUUCUGAUGACUUAAAGGUAGGCAGACAAUGUAAUAGAGCAUCAGGAAAUGCUAUCAGAAUGCUUGGUUGUAUAGGGAGAGGUAUUAGCAGUAGAAAGAGGGAAGUGCUCAUGCCAUUGUACAGAACACUGGUGAGACCUCACUUGGAGUAUUGUACGCAGUACUGGAGACCGUAUCUUCAGAAGGAUAUUGAUACUUUAGAGAGAGUUCAAAGAAGGGCUACUAAACUGGUUCAUGGAUUGCAGGAUAAAACUUACCAUGAAAGGUUAAAGGAUCUGAACAUGUAUAGCUUGGAAGAAAGACGUGACAGAGGGGAUAUGAUAGAAACAUUUAAAUACAUAAAGGUAAUCAACACAGUAAAGGAGGAGACUAUAUGUAAAAGAAGAAAAACUAUACUGAGAGGGUAGUGGAUGCAUGGAAUAGCCUUCCAGCUGAAGUGGUAGAGGUUAACACAGUAAAGGAGUUUAAGCAUACGUGGGAUAGGCAUAAGGCUAUCCUAACUAUAAGAUAAGGCCAGGGACUAAUGAAAGUAUUUUAAAAAUUGGGCAGACUAGAUGGGCCGAAUGGGAAUUGGGCAUUCUAUGUUUCGAUGUUUCUCUGUCGUAACCAGUGCUGUAUAUACUUCUAUGAGGGCUUAAACACAUAAAGGGGGAGAUUGCUACCUCUUCAGUUAGUUCUCGUACUGCCAAUCCAUGCCCAUUUGGAACUAGUGUGGUAUGCUUUAUUAUUAUUAUCUAUUAAUAAUAAACUACUAUCUAAUAGACUAUCUAUUAUUGAGCAUCUCACUCAGUGCUGUUCCCCCUCCCAGGCUACACUGUUUAAUUUGUCAUAGUACUUUUUAGAGUUGAUAAUAAAGUUCUUUUGGGGUAGGGGCUCAUUUUUUUUUUAUUAUUAUUAAUUUAUUUUUCCAUUUUUUUUUUUUUACUGAGUACCUCAACCCCUCGAGGUACUCAGCACAUGCAGAGUAUCGGAAGCCUGGCUGAUGGCUUCCAAUGCUCUGCCCUACACUGCCGGGCACCACGUGGAGCAACCCGGAAAUGAUCACUCUGGGGGAAGCGAUAACUCAGGUACCCAGCAGUGAGGGGGGGUAUUGUAUGAUGCAUUGAUAUCGAGGCAUCGUGCAAUACCCAUAGAGCGUCUGGAAGCGAUCAUGAUACAUCUGCAGUCCUUAAGGACCAUUUUUUGUCGGAUGUACCUGAUACAUCCGUGGUCGGGAAGGGGUUAAGGGCACAGUCAAUUUUACAAGUUCUAAUCAAAACAAAACUUGGAAUUUGCGCUAUAAGUCUGUUCAACCAUAAUUCACCUAACCCAUUUCGCUGCUAGGGCUAACCAUAUGGUAAGAAGGAAAGAAAAAAAAAAGAAAAGAAAACCAAAACCCAUACUAUGAUAAGGAAGGUUUUAAACCUCCCUAGGCCCCCACCUGCCAUGCAACAGGUAGGGGCAUAUCUGGUAAAUAUUUAAAAAUAGCAACAGGGUGACCAAUACAGCCCAGUAACCAGAAAGUCCCUAUCCCAUAAGGAUGGGGUAUGGAAAAUAACAGGGGGGAGGCAUAAUAGAAACUUUAGUAGAGAGCCCUGACUUUUUUUUUUUUGAAAGUCCAUAAAGCAUUUUGAUUUUUUGUACCUGCAUUUGAUAUUGAGAUUUGUUGUUUUCUGUUAUUUCCCAUUUAUUAAUGUUGAAGACUGUUUAUAUUUAGUAUUUUAAUAUGACUAAUGUAAUAGUCAUUUCAGUCACUGGUGGUAUUAGAUACACUGUUUUUGUGUGAUGAAGCAGCCUUUAAUUUCCUGUUUAAUGUGAGGUUUUGUCAUCAGUCUGUAGUUCCUUGUCUCACUGUGUCUCUUGCACAAAAAUAUAUACCAGAUUCUUCACUUCUCAUAUUGGUGAUUUGGACAUAAACUUCAUUCUUUGCGGUGUCUCUGGUGAAUGUGGCUCGAUUGUUAAACGAGGAGCCAGGCUGUGAGGUUCCACUGCUGGCAAUACGACCAAUAUAUUCCAGUCCCUUUCCUGGAAGCUGUCUGAUCCAGCCCCAGUAAUAUCUAGUAACAGCCACUGAAACUUUACAGGUCAGUUUCAUAGUCUCUGAGGGUUUCACAGUUACUGAUCCAGGUUGAUCCAGGGUAACUGCUUGCGAGAGGACAUCUGAAACA